GGCCGGGUGGCGGAAUGGUUUACGCGGAGGACUUAAAAUCCUUGACCAGAAAUGGUUUGUGGGUUCGACUCCCACCCCGGGCA
RNAcentral lists this transfer RNA (83 nucleotides) under Candidatus Jorgensenbacteria bacterium RIFCSPLOWO2_12_FULL_42_11. RNAcentral's name for it is "tRNA-Leu". It matches the Rfam family "tRNA". Rfam says of the family: Transfer RNA (tRNA) molecules are approximately 80 nucleotides in length. Their secondary structure includes four short double-helical elements and three loops (D, anti-codon, and T loops). The record is from RNAcentral. Lineage: Bacteria; Candidatus Joergenseniibacteriota.